This 1098-nucleotide ribosomal RNA is filed under the name Escherichia coli. RNAcentral describes it as "partial 23S ribosomal RNA". It matches the Rfam family "Bacterial large subunit ribosomal RNA", at positions 1 to 1091 of the family's 2925-position model. The record is from RNAcentral. Lineage: Bacteria; Pseudomonadati; Pseudomonadota; Gammaproteobacteria; Enterobacterales; Enterobacteriaceae.
CGGUUAAGUUAGAAAGGGCGCACGGUGGAUGCCUUGGCACUAGGAGCCGAUGAAGGACGGGACGAACACCGAUAUGCUUCGGGGAGCUGUAAGCAAGCUUUGAUCCGGAGAUUUCCGAAUGGGGAAACCCACUGCUCGUAAUGGAGCAGUAUCCAUAUCUGAAUUCAUAGGAUAUGAGAAGGCAGACCCGGGGAACUGAAACAUCUAAGUACCCGGAGGAAGAGAAAGCAAAUGCGAUUCCCUGAGUAGCGGCGAGCGAAACGGGAACAGCCCAAACCAAGAGGCUUGCCUCUUGGGGUUGUAGGACACUCUGUACGGAGUUACAAAAGAACGAGGUAGAUGAAGAGGUCUGGAAAGGCCCGCCAUAGGAGGUAACAGCCCUGUAGUCAAAACUUCGUUCUCUCCUGAGUGGAUCCUGAGUACGGCGGAACACGUGAAAUUCCGUCGGAAUCCGGGAGGACCAUCUCCCAAGGCUAAAUACUCCCUAGUGACCGAUAGUGAACCAGUACCGUGAGGGAAAGGUGAAAAGCACCCCGGAAGGGGAGUGAAAGAGAUCCUGAAACCGUGUGCCUACAAGUAGUCAGAGCCCGUUAACGGGUGAUGGCGUGCCUUUUGUAGAAUGAACCGGCGAGUUACGAUCCCGUGCAAGGUUAAGUUUGAAAAGACGGAGCCGCAGCGAAAGCGAGUCUGAAUAGGGCGCAUGAGUACGUGGUCGUAGACCCGAAACCAGGUGAUCUACCCAUGUCCAGGGUGAAGUUCAGGUAACACUGAAUGGAGGCCCGAACCCACGCACGUUGAAAAGUGCGGGGAUGAGGUGUGGGUAGGGGUGAAAUGCCAAUCGAACCUGGAGAUAGCUGGUUCUCUCCGAAAUAGCUUUAGGGCUAGCCUCAAGGUAAGAGUCUUGGAGGUAGAGCACUGAUUGGACUAGGGGCCCCUACCGGGUUACCGAAUUCAGUCAAACUCCGAAUGCCAAAGACUUAUCCUUGGGAGUCAGACUGCGAGUGAUAAGAUCCGUAGUCGAAAGGGAAACAGCCCAGACCGCCAGCUAAGGUCCCAAAGUAUACGUUAAGUGGAAAAGGAUGUGGAGUUGCUUAGACA